This 1419-nucleotide ribosomal RNA is filed under the name Escherichia coli. Its description in RNAcentral is "partial 23S ribosomal RNA". It matches the Rfam family "Bacterial large subunit ribosomal RNA", at positions 410 to 1814 of the family's 2925-position model. The record is from RNAcentral. Lineage: Bacteria; Pseudomonadati; Pseudomonadota; Gammaproteobacteria; Enterobacterales; Enterobacteriaceae.
GAGUAGGGCGGGACACGUGGUAUCCUGUCUGAAUAUGGGGGGACCAUCCUCCAAGGCUAAAUACUCCUGACUGACCGAUAGUGAACCAGUACCGUGAGGGAAAGGCGAAAAGAACCCCGGCGAGGGGAGUGAAAAAGAACCUGAAACCGUGUACGUACAAGCAGUGGGAGCACGCUUAGGCGUGUGACUGCGUACCUUUUGUAUAAUGGGUCAGCGACUUAUAUUCUGUAGCAAGGUUAACCGAAUAGGGGAGCCGAAGGGAAACCGAGUCUUAACUGGGCGUUAAGUUGCAGGGUAUAGACCCGAAACCCGGUGAUCUAGCCAUGGGCAGGUUGAAGGUUGGGUAACACUAACUGGAGGACCGAACCGACUAAUGUUGAAAAAUUAGCGGAUGACUUGUGGCUGGGGGUGAAAGGCCAAUCAAACCGGGAGAUAGCUGGUUCUCCCCGAAAGCUAUUUAGGUAGCGCCUCGUGAAUUCAUCUCCGGGGGUAGAGCACUGUUUCGGCAAGGGGGUCAUCCCGACUUACCAACCCGAUGCAAACUGCGAAUACCGGAGAAUGUUAUCACGGGAGACACACGGCGGGUGCUAACGUCCGUCGUGAAGAGGGAAACAACCCAGACCGCCAGCUAAGGUCCCAAAGUCAUGGUUAAGUGGGAAACGAUGUGGGAAGGCCCAGACAGCCAGGAUGUUGGCUUAGAAGCAGCCAUCAUUUAAAGAAAGCGUAAUAGCUCACUGGUCGAGUCGGCCUGCGCGGAAGAUGUAACGGGGCUAAACCAUGCACCGAAGCUGCGGCAGCGACGCUUAUGCGUUGUUGGGUAGGGGAGCGUUCUGUAAGCCUGUGAAGGUGUGCUGUGAGGCAUGCUGGAGGUAUCAGAAGUGCGAAUGCUGACAUAAGUAACGAUAAAGCGGGUGAAAAGCCCGCUCGCCGGAAGACCAAGGGUUCCUGUCCAACGUUAAUCGGGGCAGGGUGAGUCGACCCCUAAGGCGAGGCCGAAAGGCGUAGUCGAUGGGAAACAGGUUAAUAUUCCUGUACUUGGUGUUACUGCGAAGGGGGGACGGAGAAGGCUAUGUUGGCCGGGCGACGGUUGUCCCGGUUUAAGCGUGUAGGCUGGUUUUCCAGGCAAAUCCGGAAAAUCAAGGCUGAGGCGUGAUGACGAGGCACUACGGUGCUGAAGCAACAAAUGCCCUGCUUCCAGGAAAAGCCUCUAAGCAUCAGGUAACAUCAAAUCGUACCCCAAACCGACACAGGUGGUCAGGUAGAGAAUACCAAGGCGCUUGAGAGAACUCGGGUGAAGGAACUAGGCAAAAUGGUGCCGUAACUUCGGGAGAAGGCACGCUGAUAUGUAGGUGAAGCGACUUGCUCGUGGAGCUGAAAUCAGUCGAAGAUACCAGCUGGCUGCAACUGUUUAUUAAAAAC